UUGGAGGGCAAGUCUGGUGCCAGCAGCCGCGGUAAUUCCAGCUCCAAUAGCGUAUAUUAAAGUUGUUGCAGUUAAAAAGCUCGUAGUUGAAUUUCGGGAUCUAUCCAUUGGUCGGGCCUCACGGUCCGUACUGGUGUUAUGGAUUCCUACCUUCUGAAUAACCGGGAUGUCAUUAAUUUGGUGUGCCGGGGAAGCAGGACUGUUACCUUGAAAAAAUUAGAGUGCUUAAAGCAGGCUUUUGCCUGAAUACAUUAGCAUGGAAUAAUGAAAUGGGACGCAUGAUUCUAUUUUGUUGGUUUCUAGGAUCACCGUAAUGAUUAAUAGGGAUAGUUGGGGGCAUUAGUAUUCAAUUGUCAGAGGUGGAAUUCUUGGAUUUAUUGAAGACUAACUUCUGCGAAAGCAUUUGCCAAGGAUGUUUUCAUUAAUCAAGAACGAAAGUUAGGGGAUCGAAGACGAUCAGAUACCGUCGUAGUCUUAACCAUAAACUAUGCCGACUAGGGAUCGGACGAUGUUAAUUUUUUAAUGACUCGUUCGGCGCCUUACGGGAAAC
Molecule: ribosomal RNA, 550 nt
Filed under: uncultured Acaulosporaceae
Lineage: Eukaryota; Fungi; Glomeromycota; Glomeromycetes; Diversisporales; Acaulosporaceae
Description: SSU rRNA
Rfam family: Eukaryotic small subunit ribosomal RNA
Source: RNAcentral